RNAcentral lists this transfer RNA (85 nucleotides) under Bacteroidaceae bacterium. RNAcentral describes it as "tRNA-Thr". It matches the Rfam family "tRNA". From Rfam's summary of the family: Transfer RNA (tRNA) molecules are approximately 80 nucleotides in length. Their secondary structure includes four short double-helical elements and three loops (D, anti-codon, and T loops). The record is from RNAcentral. Lineage: Bacteria; Pseudomonadati; Bacteroidota; Bacteroidia; Bacteroidales; Bacteroidaceae.
GCUGGGGUGGCUGAGAGGUUGAAGGCACUUGAUUUGUAAUCAUGUUCGAAAGACAGCGCAGGUUCGAAUCCUGUCCCCAGCUCCA